CCUACGGGUGGCAGCAGUGAGGAAUAUUGGUCAAUGGGCGAGAGCCUGAACCAGCCAAGUAGCGUGAAGGAUGACUGCCCUACGGGUUGUAAACUUCUUUUAUAAGGGAAUAAAGUGAGGCACGUGUGCCUUUUUGUAUGUACCUUAUGAAUAAGGAUCGGCUAACUCCGUGCCAGCAGCCGCGGUAAUACGGAGGAUCCGAGCGUUAUCCGGAUUUAUUGGGUUUAAAGGGAGCGUAGGUGGGUAAUUAAGUCAGCUGUGAAAGUUUGUGGCUCAACCGUAAAAUUGCCGUUGAGACUGGCUGUCUUGAGUACAGUUGAGGUAGGCGGAAUUCGUGGUGUAGCGGUGAAAUGCAUAGAUAUCACGAAGAACUCCGAUUGCGAAGGCAGCUUACUAAACUACAACUGACAUUGAAGCUCGAAAGUGUGGGGAUCAAACAGGAUUAGAUACCCUAGUAGUC
This 460-nucleotide ribosomal RNA is filed under the name uncultured bacterium. Its description in RNAcentral is "partial 16S ribosomal RNA". It matches the Rfam family "Bacterial small subunit ribosomal RNA", at positions 338 to 795 of the family's 1533-position model. The record is from RNAcentral.